AUCCAGCUGACGAAUCCCAACUGAGACGAAACACGCGUCCUGGAU
This 45-nucleotide non-coding RNA is filed under the name Schistosoma mattheei. The record is from RNAcentral. Lineage: Eukaryota; Metazoa; Platyhelminthes; Trematoda; Strigeidida; Schistosomatidae.